RNAcentral lists this ribosomal RNA (497 nucleotides) under uncultured bacterium. RNAcentral describes it as "partial 16S ribosomal RNA". It matches the Rfam family "Bacterial small subunit ribosomal RNA", at positions 28 to 507 of the family's 1533-position model. The record is from RNAcentral.
GAUGAACGCUGGCGGCGUGCCUAAUACAUGCAAGUCGAGCGAACGGACGAGAAGCUUGCUUCUCUGAUGUUAGCGGCGGACGGGUGAGUAACACGUGGAUAACCUACCUAUAAGACUGGGAUAACUUCGGGAAACCGGAGCUAAUACCGGAUAAUAUUUUGAACCGCAUGGUUCAAAAGUGAAAGACGGUCUUGCUGUCACUUAUAGAUGGAUCCGCGCUGCAUUAGCUAGUUGGUAAGGUAACGGCUUACCAAGGCAACGAUGCAUAGCCGACCUGAGAGGGUGAUCGGCCACACUGGAACUGAGACACGGUCCAGACUCCUACGGGAGGCAGCAGUAGGGAAUCUUCCGCAAUGGGCGAAAGCCUGACGGAGCAACGCCGCGUGAGUGAAGAAGGUCUUCGGAUCGUAAAACUCUGUUAUUAGGGAAGAACAUAUGUGUAAGUAACUGUGCACAUCUUGACGGUACCUAACCAGAAAGCCACGGCUAACUACGUG